Long non-coding RNA from Pan troglodytes (chimpanzee), 2780 nucleotides. RefSeq lists it as uncharacterized. The record is from RefSeq and is a predicted model, not a curated record. Lineage: Eukaryota; Metazoa; Chordata; Mammalia; Primates; Hominidae. The transcript has 2 exons.
GCAAGCCACGCCUCCUCAGCUCCCAGCCUUCUGGGUCCGAGGCUCCCACCUGCGCUAAGCGCUUGGUACCAGGGAGGGAAUGGGAGGACGCUUGCGGGAUAGGGAGGCGGGGGCUGGAAAUUGGCAGGGUGAGAACUGGGGAAACUAGUUUGGGACGCAGCCCUCCUUGUCCCCCUUCUUCAUUCACCCCCUUGUUGAGGCCCUUGGCUUUUGCAUAAUACACCCUUUAAAAAAAUGUAUUUAAAGAGGCUGGUUCCUAUCCAUCCGACUGGAGGCAUCUCAGUGCAAGAGCAAAGCUAAGUCCUGCACACGCACCUCCCCUCCUCCUCCUCCUUCUCCCCCCAGGUUUUCCCGAAUGUAUCUACUCCGGUUACAACUAGACGCGGCCCCUCCCCCACCUGCCUCCCCCCUUCCUUCCCUCGAUCGUGGAGGGAGCGUUCUCUGUGCCUUCCCAAGUCCCCGUGGGGUCCUUCUAUGUUGGAGUGGGGUGAGGGGGGGAGGUUCAUAUAACGAAGGCCAGAAAGAACAAAUUAGAUAAUCGAAAGAAUUAUAGUAAUUGCUUUCACUUUCCCCCGCCCGCUCAGCGGAUUCCCUCCCCCGCCCCUCCCCUGGUUUUUCUGUCUGUCGGGAAUACUCGGUCUUUCCGACCCCCUCCCCUCCCCCAGGUUCCUCCUCUCCUCUCCCCUUGCUCGCGCGUUCCCUCUCUUCCUCCGUUUUCUGGUGUGCUGGAACGUUCAGCGGAAUAUGAUGAAUGAUCACCUGUCACAGCUUGUUUAUUAUAAUGCAGGCAAUCAAUUACACAUCCCCAACGCUGGCCGGCCCGCAGGAAAUUUAUAUGCUCAGCACAAACCAAUGUGAAAAUGGAAUCUCAUUUGCCAAAUGUCUUUCUCCCCGUACAGCACGAUGAUUACAGUCUGUGUUUGUUUCAACAGUCGUGUACAACUGACAGUGCCAUCAUUUACUGCCUGGCUCAGGUCACGUUACUCUAAGGCUUUAUUUAUGGUGUUACGAAGGGCAGCACAGGAAAAGGACAAGGGUGUCUGUCAGGGAUGGCACUGUGUUAAAAAGUGGGCGUGCAAGGGCCGCAUUCCCGGGCAGCCGCUGCAACCUCAGCCCCUGGGCCCUUACCUCCGCAGCCUCUCCCAGCAUCCAGCUACCCAGACUCCAAGGCCCCAGCCGGGAGCCAGCUCUCGGUACCUGGAGCUCCACAGGUCCCAGAAUCGGGGUGGAUCAGAAUUCAAAUUCUGGUUAUGCUACUGUCUAAUUGCGUGCUGCAGGGACUCAAUCUCUUCAUCUGGGAAAUGGGAGUAAUAGCCCUUGGCAGGAAUGUUGCGAUCUCUGGGAUGUCAGAGGUGUUGAUGAAUGUUAGUUCCCGGGACUUCGGAAAGAGGUCCCGUUGGAAGAGAUGUGAAUUGGAAUUCACACCCUAUAUUAAAAUCUCCUCCAAUCUUCACCUCUGAGACAUGGCUGUCUCAAGACUGUUUUGUUUCCCUUCCUGGUGGAAUUUUGCACUUUUAUGUCCUGUGUAGCAGCAGGUAGUGUGGCUUUGAAAAAAUAAAAUGGCCACCUUGCUCCGCUGUUCUUUCUUUGUAAAAAAAAAAAAAAAAAAAAAAAAAAAAAAAAAAAAAAAAAAAAAAAAAAAACCACAUAGCAAUCUUGGCCUUUCUAGCUGUGUGACCCCAGGCCGGUCAAUCCCUCCUCCUCUCCAAGCCUCGGAUUCCUCCCCUGAGAAGUAAAGAAAAUAACUCCUAAACUGCCUCCCUAGGCUUGCUGGCAGGAUCCAAGGUGUCCAGAGAUGUUAAAAAAAAAAAAAAGCCCAGUAAAUGGGAAAGUGAGGCUGUCACUGCUGAGUGGCAUCCUGUUUUCAGGAGUUCUGGUUGGUCCCCAGAGUUCUGCUACACAAAAUGUUGACCCAAAUUUGUGCCCCCACAACACUUGGUGUCAAGUGGGAGCUCAGAAACUGAGGGGCAGGCAGAUGCUUUUAUGUGUAUUAGGUUGUCUUUUAUUGUAUUGUAUAGUUCCCUUUUUUUUUUUUUUGAGAUGGAGUCUUGCUCUAUUGCCCAGGAUGGAGUACAGUGGCACGAUCUUGGCUCACUGCAACCUCCACCUCCUGGGUUCAAGCAAUUCUCCUGCCUCAGCAUCUCAAGUAGCUGGGAUUACAGGCACGUACCACCAUGCCUGGCUAAUUUUUAUAAUUUUAGUAGAGACAGGGUUUCACCGUGUUGGCCAGGCUGGUCUCGAACUCCUGACCUCAACUGAUCCACCCACCUCAGCCUCCCAAAGUGCUGGGAUUACAGGCUUGAGCCACCGUGCCCAGCCUGUACUAUAUAUUUCUUUAUUAUUUGACACGUGUAUUUGUUUAAUGGCCCUCUGCUCCACCAGUAUGGAAGCUCCAAAAGGAAAGAUACCAGAUUGAUCUUGAUCACCUUUGCCUCCCCAGCACCUAGUCUUCCUUGGCACAUCGUGAGUGCUCGGUAAACAUCUGUGGCUUUAAUGGAUGAAUGAGUGAAUGACUACAUGGCUAAACUCCAUUCUAGGGCAACAUCUGUGGUGCAGUGGGUGGGCCCUAGUGAAUGGAUAUUUAAAGGAUAUCGUACUAUUCCUCAUCUCCACAGGGUCAGGCUGUGCCACAUCCACCCGGCCUUGCCUGGGGUCAUUCAUCUACAUGUACUCAGAUCACGUGAACUGGUGAUGGGCCACCCAUGUGCCUGCCUGGAGACUCCUAUUCACCCUUCAGAUCAAUAUCCCCCGAAUAAACUCCCAGUCACUCUGGCAUCCCA